Brienomyrus brachyistius is the source of this 635-nucleotide long non-coding RNA. RefSeq lists it as uncharacterized. The transcript has 4 exons. The record is from RefSeq and is a predicted model, not a curated record. NCBI's taxonomy places the organism in Eukaryota, Metazoa, Chordata, Actinopteri, Osteoglossiformes, Mormyridae.
AGUUACCUUUAAAUUGGCGAUUUCCAAAGCCAGUACCACGCUAAGUGGGAAACAACAGACAACAGGGCAGCAAUAAUGCGGGUGAUUCUGACGCUUGUGCUCAUGGCUGAGUGGUUAUUUGUGUUGGUAUUUGGCUUCCAGGAAAUAUUCUGUAUGAUUGGUAAACCAGGGACCUGUCCAAUAAGUAUGAGGGAACUGCCAUCAAGCUCAUUGUGUACCUGUGACAAUGAGUGUCCUGACAGAAUGAAGUGCUGUGCCUUUUACUCCAUCCGUUACUGUGGGCGACAAGGUCUUGGAAAUCCAGGUCCAUGUAACACCAUAAAGAAAGGAGACAGAAUAUGUACUGCUAACAAAGAUUGUCCCAAGGGCUGGAAUUGUUGUUCUAAUGGUUGUGGCCGCCUGUGUGCACAUCCAGCUACAGUAUUGCCUUCUCCCUUUGGCCCCCCUAUCCUGCCAUGAGUCAUACAAAGAUUUCCAUUGUUCUGGGAUGUUGAAAUGCUGCCAAAUGGCCUUUUGGAGUGCAUGCAGCUUGUCCCUAUGAUUUUCCACUUGGAGACUGGGUGAUGAUGACUUCCCAGUCAAGGUGUUUUUGGUACUGUGUGGUCAACUAAACAAUAAAUGCUUUUCUGUGCAAA